This 323-nucleotide ribosomal RNA is filed under the name uncultured eukaryote. Its description in RNAcentral is "partial 18S ribosomal RNA". It matches the Rfam family "Eukaryotic small subunit ribosomal RNA", at positions 1470 to 1796 of the family's 1831-position model. The record is from RNAcentral.
CCCUUAGAUGUCCUGGGCUGCACGCGCGCUACACUGAUGUGUCCAGUAAGCACCUAACCUCUUCCGAAAGGAACGGGUAACCUUUGCAAAGCACAUCGUGAUGGGGAUAGAUUAUUGCAAUUAUUAGUCUUGAACGAGGAAUUCCUAGUAAGCACAAGUCAUCAGCUUGUGUUGAUUACGUCCCUGCCCUUUGUACACACCGCCCGUCGCUCCUACCGAUUGAAUGUUCCGGUGAGCUCUUCGGACUGCGCGGUCUGCAGUUUCUGCGUUCCGUGCGGAAAGUUGCGCAAACCUUAACAUUAGAGGAAGGAGAAGUCGUAACA